This 468-nucleotide ribosomal RNA is filed under the name uncultured bacterium. RNAcentral describes it as "partial 16S ribosomal RNA". It matches the Rfam family "Bacterial small subunit ribosomal RNA", at positions 28 to 507 of the family's 1533-position model. The record is from RNAcentral.
GACGAACGCUGGCGGCGUGCUUAACACAUGCAAGUCGAACGGAAAGGCCCUGCUUUUGUUGGGUGCUCGAGUGGCGAACGGGUGAGUAACACGUGAGUAACCUGCCCUUGACUUUGGGAUAACUUCAGGAAACUGGGGCUAAUACCGGGUAUGAGCUCCUGCUGCAUGUGGGGGGUUGGAAAGUUUCGGCGGUUGGGGAUGGACUCGCGGCUUAUCAGCUUGUUGGUGGGGUAGGGGCUUACCAAGGCUUUGACGGGUAGCCGGCCUGAGAGGGUGACCGGCCACAUUGGGACUGAGAUACGGCCCAGACUCCUACGGGAGGCAGCAGUGGGGAAUCUUGCACAAUGGGCGGAAGCCUGAUGCAGCAACGCCGCGUGCGGGAUGACGGCCUUCGGGUUGUAAACCGCUUUCGCCUGUGACGAAGCGUGAGUGACGGUAAUGGGUAAAGAAGCAACGGCUAACUACGUG